Long non-coding RNA from Humulus lupulus (European hop), 450 nucleotides. RefSeq lists it as uncharacterized. The record is from RefSeq and is a predicted model, not a curated record. NCBI's taxonomy places the organism in Eukaryota, Viridiplantae, Streptophyta, Magnoliopsida, Rosales, Cannabaceae. The transcript is spliced from 2 exons.
UAGUUAGAAUCUACCUCACACAAAAAUAUGUUGAAUAACUUGCAGCAUAGCUAGAGAGCUUGAUUUGGAGGAAUGGACUUCCAGGACUGAAACUGCUAAUGUGCUGCAUGAGCCAAGCAACAUCAUGAGGAGGUUUGCCUUGGAAACCUGAGGAGAUUUCAAUUUAGAGAGCUUCAGAUGGCAACAAACAACUUCAGCAGCAAGUACUUGGUUGGAUGAUGAAUUGAAGGAUGGAGCAAGUUUCAUGCAUGAUUUACUUUUGUGUAUCUUGUAAUGUUUCUGUUUUUCAUUUUUAAAGUAAAAAAUGUUCAAGAUUAUAAAACUUUAUUAUGUUAUGCUUUCAAAUUUAAGUUAGAACUAAGAUCUCAUGAAGUAGACAUAUUCAUGGUUUGAAUUAGUUAUUGUUUAAUGUAAUACUUGUGGUUUAUCAAUCUAUUGAGAAUUACAUUU